This 427-nucleotide ribosomal RNA is filed under the name uncultured bacterium. RNAcentral's name for it is "partial 16S ribosomal RNA". It matches the Rfam family "Bacterial small subunit ribosomal RNA", at positions 355 to 774 of the family's 1533-position model. The record is from RNAcentral.
UGGGGAAUAUUGGACAAUGGGCGAAAGCCUGAUCCAGCCAUGCCGCGUGUGUGAAGAAGGUCUUCGGAUUGUAAAGCACUUUAAGUUGGGAGGAAGGGCAUUAACCUAAUACGUUAGUGUUUUGACGUUACCGACAGAAUAAGCACCGGCUAACUCUGUGCCAGCAGCCGCGGUAAUACAGAGGGUGCAAGCGUUAAUCGGAAUUACUGGGCGUAAAGCGCGCGUAGGGGGUUUGUUAAGUUGGAUGUGAAAUCCCCGGGCUCAACCUGGGAACUGCAUUCAAAACUGACUGACUAGAGUAUGGUAGAGGGUGGUGGAAUUUCCUGUGUAGCGGUGAAAUGCGUAGAUAUAGGAAGGAACACCAGUGGCGAAGGCGACCACCUGGACUAAUACUGACACUGAGGUGCGAAAGCGUGGGGAGCAAACA